Molecule: ribosomal RNA, 406 nt
Filed under: uncultured bacterium
Lineage: Bacteria
Description: bacterial SSU rRNA
Rfam family: Bacterial small subunit ribosomal RNA
Source: RNAcentral
GACGAACGCUGGCGGCGUGCCUAACACAUGCAAGUCAGGGAGAAAGAGGUAGCAAUAUCUCGAGUAAACCGGCGAACGGGUGAGUAACACGUAGGUAACCUGCCCUCGAGUUGGGAAUAACUUCGAGAAAUCGAGGCUAAUACCGGAUAAUGCAACGAACCCGCAUGGGUUUGUUGUUAAAGUUCCGCGCAAGCGGAACGCUUGAGGAAGGACCUGCGGCCGAUUAGCUAGUUGGCGGAGUAACAGCCCACCAAGGCGACGAUCGGUAGCCGACCUGAGAGGGUGACCGGCCACACUGGGACUGAGAUACGGCCCAGACUCCUACGGGAGGCAGCAGUGAGGAAUAUUGGUCAAUGGCCGAAAGGCUGAACCAGCAACGCCGCGUGAGGGAUGAAGAUCUAAGGAU